RNAcentral lists this ribosomal RNA (2576 nucleotides) under Escherichia coli. RNAcentral's name for it is "partial 23S ribosomal RNA". It matches the Rfam family "Bacterial large subunit ribosomal RNA", at positions 357 to 2916 of the family's 2925-position model. The record is from RNAcentral. Lineage: Bacteria; Pseudomonadati; Pseudomonadota; Gammaproteobacteria; Enterobacterales; Enterobacteriaceae.
AUACAGGGUGACAGCCCCGUACACAAAAAUGCACAUACUGUGAGCUCGAUGAGUAGGGCGGGACACGUGGUAUCCUGUCUGAAUAUGGGGGGACCAUCCUCCAAGGCUAAAUACUCCUGACUGACCGAUAGUGAACCAGUACCGUGAGGGAAAGGCGAAAAGAACCCCGGCGAGGGGAGUGAAAAAGAACCUGAAACCGUGUACGUACAAGCAGUGGGAGCACGCUUAGGCGUGUGACUGCGUACCUUUUGUAUAAUGGGUCAGCGACUUAUAUUCUGUAGCAAGGUUAACCGAAUAGGGGAGCCGAAGGGAAACCGAGUCUUAACUGGGCGUUAAGUUGCAGGGUAUAGACCCGAAACCCGGUGAUCUAGCCAUGGGCAGGUUGAAGGUUGGGUAACACUAACUGGAGGACCGAACCGACUAAUGUUGAAAAAUUAGCGGAUGACUUGUGGCUGGGGGUGAAAGGCCAAUCAAACCGGGAGAUAGCUGGUUCUCCCCGAAAGCUAUUUAGGUAGCGCCUCGUGAAUUCAUCUCCGGGGGUAGAGCACUGUUUCGGCAAGGGGGUCAUCCCGACUUACCAACCCGAUGCAAACUGCGAAUACCGGAGAAUGUUAUCACGGGAGACACACGGCGGGUGCUAACGUCCGUCGUGAAGAGGGAAACAACCCAGACCGCCAGCUAAGGUCCCAAAGUCAUGGUUAAGUGGGAAACGAUGUGGGAAGGCCCAGACAGCCAGGAUGUUGGCUUAGAAGCAGCCAUCAUUUAAAGAAAGCGUAAUAGCUCACUGGUCGAGUCGGCCUGCGCGGAAGAUGUAACGGGGCUAAACCAUGCACCGAAGCUGCGGCAGCGACGCUUAUGCGUUGUUGGGUAGGGGAGCGUUCUGUAAGCCUGUGAAGGUGUGCUGUGAGGCAUGCUGGAGGUAUCAGAAGUGCGAAUGCUGACAUAAGUAACGAUAAAGCGGGUGAAAAGCCCGCUCGCCGGAAGACCAAGGGUUCCUGUCCAACGUUAAUCGGGGCAGGGUGAGUCGACCCCUAAGGCGAGGCCGAAAGGCGUAGUCGAUGGGAAACAGGUUAAUAUUCCUGUACUUGGUGUUACUGCGAAGGGGGGACGGAGAAGGCUAUGUUGGCCGGGCGACGGUUGUCCCGGUUUAAGCGUGUAGGCUGGUUUUCCAGGCAAAUCCGGAAAAUCAAGGCUGAGGCGUGAUGACGAGGCACUACGGUGCUGAAGCAACAAAUGCCCUGCUUCCAGGAAAAGCCUCUAAGCAUCAGGUAACAUCAAAUCGUACCCCAAACCGACACAGGUGGUCAGGUAGAGAAUACCAAGGCGCUUGAGAGAACUCGGGUGAAGGAACUAGGCAAAAUGGUGCCGUAACUUCGGGAGAAGGCACGCUGAUAUGUAGGUGAAGCGACUUGCUCGUGGAGCUGAAAUCAGUCGAAGAUACCAGCUGGCUGCAACUGUUUAUUAAAAACACAGCACUGUGCAAACACGAAAGUGGACGUAUACGGUGUGACGCCUGCCCGGUGCCGGAAGGUUAAUUGAUGGGGUCAGCGCAAGCGAAGCUCUUGAUCGAAGCCCCGGUAAACGGCGGCCGUAACUAUAACGGUCCUAAGGUAGCGAAAUUCCUUGUCGGGUAAGUUCCGACCUGCACGAAUGGCGUAAUGAUGGCCAGGCUGUCUCCACCCGAGACUCAGUGAAAUUGAACUCGCUGUGAAGAUGCAGUGUACCCGCGGCAAGACGGAAAGACCCCGUGAACCUUUACUAUAGCUUGACACUGAACAUUGAGCCUUGAUGUGUAGGAUAGGUGGGAGGCUUUGAAGUGUGGACGCCAGUCUGCAUGGAGCCGACCUUGAAAUACCACCCUUUAAUGUUUGAUGUUCUAACGUUGACCCGUAAUCCGGGUUGCGGACAGUGUCUGGUGGGUAGUUUGACUGGGGCGGUCUCCUCCUAAAGAGUAACGGAGGAGCACGAAGGUUGGCUAAUCCUGGUCGGACAUCAGGAGGUUAGUGCAAUGGCAUAAGCCAGCUUGACUGCGAGCGUGACGGCGCGAGCAGGUGCGAAAGCAGGUCAUAGUGAUCCGGUGGUUCUGAAUGGAAGGGCCAUCGCUCAACGGAUAAAAGGUACUCCGGGGAUAACAGGCUGAUACCGCCCAAGAGUUCAUAUCGACGGCGGUGUUUGGCACCUCGAUGUCGGCUCAUCACAUCCUGGGGCUGAAGUAGGUCCCAAGGGUAUGGCUGUUCGCCAUUUAAAGUGGUACGCGAGCUGGGUUUAGAACGUCGUGAGACAGUUCGGUCCCUAUCUGCCGUGGGCGCUGGAGAACUGAGGGGGGCUGCUCCUAGUACGAGAGGACCGGAGUGGACGCAUCACUGGUGUUCGGGUUGUCAUGCCAAUGGCACUGCCCGGUAGCUAAAUGCGGAAGAGAUAAGUGCUGAAAGCAUCUAAGCACGAAACUUGCCCCGAGAUGAGUUCUCCCUGACCCUUUAAGGGUCCUGAAGGAACGUUGAAGACGACGACGUUGAUAGGCCGGGUGUGUAAGCGCAGCGAUGCGUUGAGCUAACCGGUACUAAUGAACCGUGAGG